UGUCAUUCCGGAGAGGGGCGUUUUCUUCUUUCUCUAACCCUAAUGUAUUGCUUGGGCAGCAGCUCUCUCGGUAUGCUCGCUGUUUUGCUGGCUAACUUUCAGCGAGCAGAGGGCGAAGUCGAAUUUCGGACAAGGGAGAAAAAAUGUUAGCCGGGGAACGCCCCUUUCCCGAAUGCCCGUGCCGUCCUUCCUCUCCUCUGGGCCCGUUGGCGAUAGCCCCCGGCCUCCCUCGCUCCUUAGGCCGCGGUCAGUCCGGGCCCUUGCUCUGGCAUGAGGUCCAUUGCUGCCGCGAAGAGUUCGUCUCUGUCAGCCUUGAGGUGGCCAGCAUGGAAUUGGCGGGCUUGUGGCGGCGCGCGGGAAAAAGCAAAUGGUGAACUAGGUGCGUGUUGUGGUCGUGUUCCUGAAGCGUGGAAUGUGCGAUCUGUGCGCUAGUUCAUACACAC
RNAcentral lists this telomerase RNA (443 nucleotides) under Typhlonectes natans (Rio Cauca caecilian). RNAcentral describes it as "Vertebrate telomerase RNA". It matches the Rfam family "Vertebrate telomerase RNA". Rfam says of the family: Telomerase is a ribonucleoprotein reverse transcriptase that synthesises telomeric DNA. Telomerase RNAs differ greatly in sequence and structure between vertebrates, ciliates and yeasts, but they share a 5' pseudoknot structure close to the template sequence. The record is from Rfam by way of RNAcentral. Lineage: Eukaryota; Metazoa; Chordata; Amphibia; Gymnophiona; Typhlonectidae.